RNAcentral lists this ribosomal RNA (558 nucleotides) under Triticum aestivum (bread wheat). RNAcentral's name for it is "partial small subunit ribosomal RNA". The record is from RNAcentral. Lineage: Eukaryota; Viridiplantae; Streptophyta; Magnoliopsida; Poales; Poaceae.
AUGUGCAAGGGAAUCACUGAUACUAUAUCGCAUUAUUGGUGGGGAGAUGGACAGGACCAACACAAACUACACUGGUUUGCUUGGUGGAAGAUAUGUGUUGCAAAGGUAUGGGGAGGAAUGGGCUUUCGUGACAUUCAUAGCUUUAAUCUUGCAAUGUUGUCUAAACAGUGUUUGAGGCUCAUUGAUAAUUAUGACUCUCUUUGUGCCAAAGUUCUUAGAGCAAAAUACUACCCCUCUGGCGACCUGCUAAAUUGUGAACUAAAGAAGGGCUCAUCCUUUGUGUGGCAAAGUAUUUGGUCAGGGCUCCAAACUUUUGAAAAGGGAUGCAUUUGGAGAGUUGACAAUGGAUUGAAAAUCAAUAUUUGGGAGGAUUGUUGGAUCCCAAAUAGUAUGUCCAGGAAAAUUUUCAUAGUGCAGGGUAACUGUGUUCUCACUACCGUUAAUGAGCUUAUAGACCCAGCUGCGGGUGAAUGGGACGAAGCUUUGAUUCGAGACAAUUUCUGGCAUAUUAAUGCGGAGAGGAUUUUGCAGAUUCCAAUAUAUCAGCAUUAUACAUAG